RNAcentral lists this ribosomal RNA (403 nucleotides) under uncultured bacterium. Its description in RNAcentral is "partial 16S ribosomal RNA". It matches the Rfam family "Bacterial small subunit ribosomal RNA", at positions 28 to 526 of the family's 1533-position model. The record is from RNAcentral.
GACGAACGCUGGCGGCGUGCCUAAUACAUGCAAGUCGAACGCAGUGGGGACGGGUGAGUAACACGUGGGUAACCUCCCAUCCAAGGGGAUAACACUUGGAAACAGGUGCUAAACCGAUACUGAUGGAUGGACCCGCGGUGCAUUAGCUAGUUGGUUAGGUAACGGCUCACCAGGGCCACGAUGCAUAGCGGACCUGGGAGGUGGAUCGGCCACACUGGGCCUGAGACACGGCCCAGACCCCUACGGGAGUCAGCAGUAGGGAAUCUUCGGCAAUGGACGAAAUUCUGACCGAGCAACGCCGCGUGAGUGAAGAAGGUUUUCGGAUCGUAAAACUCUGUUGUUAGAGAAGCGGUAUCUAACCAGAAAGCCACGGCUAACUACGUGCCAGCCGCCGCGGUAAUUC